RNAcentral lists this ribosomal RNA (229 nucleotides) under uncultured bacterium. RNAcentral's name for it is "partial 16S ribosomal RNA". It matches the Rfam family "Bacterial small subunit ribosomal RNA", at positions 568 to 796 of the family's 1533-position model. The record is from RNAcentral.
UCCGUAGGUGGAUAAUUAAGUCAGAGGUGAAAUCCUGCAGCUCAACUGUAGAAUUGCCUUUGAUACUGGUUAUCUUGAGUCAUUAUGAAGUGGUUAGAAUGUGUAGUGUAGCGGUGAAACGCAUAGAUAUUACACAGAAUACCGAUUGCGAAGGCAGAUCACUAAUAAUGUACUGACACUGAGGGACGAAAGCGUGGGGAGCGAACAGGAUUAGAUACCCUGGUAGUCC